AUCCACACGAUUAUGGAGGAGGCUUGUAGCGAAUUUGUCAUCACUAGGGAUGAUGGCUCUACAGCUUCUAACUCGCCGAACUCCUUUCCCACGCCACCAAAUAACCUCCCUGAUCGCACUGCGACUACGUGGAACCUUCCGUCCUUCCCCUUCCCCAUUCGGCCGCCAACUGAUGUGAAGUCCGAAAGCCAAUCCGCCGGGGGAGUGCAUCAUCACAAUUCUGGACCCCCGUUACCCUCAUAUGGGAAUGAUGGAGCAUGAUGUCCUCUUCAAAUCAGAAGCUGUAGGCCUCCAACUUGGGUUGGGAUCAUCUGCAGUGCAGAAUUUUAUCAUGAUGAUAAAAUCCCCUUUUUUAAAACCAUAUUUUUGGUCCAUAGAUAAUAAAAUGUAUAAUUUUUAAUCUCUAAUAGCUAGUUUAAUAUUUUAAAAUCUAAUAGACCCAUCAUUAUUUUUAUUUUUUUUAUUGGUUACACGCUAGAAGUCUGAAGUUAUGUUUGACAUUUUGUAGCGAGUAGCGACGCCCCAGCUCUUUCCCUACAAAUA
RNAcentral lists this long non-coding RNA (543 nucleotides) under Phoenix dactylifera (date palm). RNAcentral's name for it is "long non-coding RNA (PDAC_LNC009344)". Lineage: Eukaryota; Viridiplantae; Streptophyta; Magnoliopsida; Arecales; Arecaceae. The record is from RNAcentral.